This 244-nucleotide ribosomal RNA is filed under the name Leptobacillium sp. RNAcentral describes it as "partial large subunit ribosomal RNA". It matches the Rfam family "Eukaryotic large subunit ribosomal RNA", at positions 398 to 664 of the family's 3401-position model. Lineage: Eukaryota; Fungi; Ascomycota; Sordariomycetes; Hypocreales; Cordycipitaceae. The record is from RNAcentral.
CGUGAAAUUGUUGAAAGGGAAGCGCCUAUGACCAGACUUGGGCCCGGUGAAUCAUCCAGCGUUCUCGCUGGUGCACUUUGCCGGGCACAGGCCAGCAUCAGUUUGGCUUGGGGGAAAAAGGCUUUGGGAACGUAGCUCCUCGGAGUGUUAUAGACCAUUGCAUAAUGCCCUGGGCCGGACUGAGGUUCGCGCAUCUGCAAGGAUGCUGGCGUAAUGGUCAUCAGCGACCCGUCUUGAAACACGG